CCUACGGGGGGCAGCAGUGAGGAAUAUUGGUCAAUGGACGCAAGUCUGAACCAGCCAUGCCGCGUGCAGGAAGACGGCUCUAUGAGUUGAAAACUGCUUUUGUACGAGGGUAAACUCAGAUACGCGUAUCUGUCUGACAGUAUCGUACGAAUAAGGAUCGGCUAACUCCGUGCCAGCAGCCGCGGUAAUACGGAGGAUUCAAGCGUUAUCCGGAUUUAUUGGGUUUAAAGGGUGCGUAGGCGGUCGGAUAAGUUAGAGGUGAAAUCCCGAGGCUCAACUUCGGAAUUGCCUCUGAUACUGUGCGGCUAGAGAGCAGUUGCGGUAGGCGGAAUGUAUGGUGUAGCGGUGAAAUGCUUAGAGAUCAUACAGAACACCGAUUGCGAAGGCAGCUUACCAAGCUACUUCUGACGUUGAGGCACGAAAGCGUGGGGAGCAAACAGGAUUAGAUACCCUUGUAGUC
RNAcentral lists this ribosomal RNA (460 nucleotides) under uncultured bacterium. RNAcentral describes it as "partial 16S ribosomal RNA". It matches the Rfam family "Bacterial small subunit ribosomal RNA", at positions 338 to 795 of the family's 1533-position model. The record is from RNAcentral.